AACGCACCUUGCACUCUUUGGUAUUCCGAAGAGUAUGUCUGUUUGAGUGUCUUGAAACUCUCAACCCCCCUGUUUUGUAAUGAUUCAGGUGUUGGGCUUGGAUGAUGGCUGCGUGCUGGCUUGUAAAAGGUCGGCUCAGCUGAAAUACAAGAGUAUACCUCGUCUCAUCGGACGAACGGCUUGUACUUGGCGUAAUAAAUAUUUCGUCGAGGACGUUCAUCUGAAAGACGUUUCGUAUGCUUCUAACCAGUCUUCAGCUCUUCGUAGAGUAUGAACUCUUCCAACUUAGACCUCAAAUCAGGCAGGGCUACCCGCUGAACUUAA
Molecule: unclassified non-coding RNA, 324 nt
Filed under: uncultured fungus
Lineage: Eukaryota; Fungi
Description: partial contains 5.8S ribosomal RNA, internal transcribed spacer 2, and large subunit ribosomal RNA
Rfam family: 5.8S ribosomal RNA (bases 1-52)
Source: RNAcentral